UGGUCAGGAUGAGUCGGGCCAUCAGCUGUGUGAGGUAAGGCUCCCCAGGGUGACCGGUACCGGCCUCGAGGUGACGGGCGCUUGGAGUGAUCCAGGCCCUGCUCCCCGGGAGGCAGCUGUGGGGAAUAUGCACAAUGGCGAAACCUGAUGCAGCAACGCCGUUUGAGGGAGAUGGCUUCGGGUUGUAAACCUCCUUUAGCAGCGAUGAAGCGAAAGUGACGGUACUUGCAGAAAAUGCGCCGCCUAACUACGUGUCAGCAGCCGCGGUAAUAAGUAGGGCGCACAGCGUUAUCCGGAAUUUUUGGCGUACAGAGCUCGUAGGCGGUUUGUCGCGUCUGCUUUGAAAUCCCGAGGCUCAACUUUGGGUGUGCAGUGGGUACGGGCAGAGUAGAGUGCGGUAGGGGUGAUUGGAAUUCCUGGUGUAGCGGUGGAAUGAGCAGAUAUCAGGAGGAACACCGAUGGCGAAGGCAGAUUUCUGGCCCGUAACUGUCGUUGAGGAGCGAAAGGGUGGGGAGCAAACAGGCUUAGAUUCCGUGGUAGUCCACCCCGUAAACGUUGGGAAUUAGUUGUGGGGUCCAUUCCACGGAUUCCGUGACGCAGCUAACGCAUUAAGUUCCCCGCGUGGGGAGUACGGUCGCAAGAUUAAAACUCAAAGGAAUUGAGGGGGGCCCGCACAAGCGGUGGAGCAUGUGGUUUAAUUCAGGGCAACGCGAAGAACCUUACCAAGCCUUGACAUCCUCGGAACCAUUUAGAGAUAGAUGGGUGCCUUCGGGAACCGCAGAGACAGGGAGCAUGACGGUCGUACACGCUCGGUCAGGGAGAGCGGGAUAACGUCCACUGCCAACGACAAACGGCUUUUUUGUAUGCCGUUUCU
RNAcentral lists this ribosomal RNA (874 nucleotides) under uncultured bacterium. RNAcentral describes it as "bacterial SSU rRNA". It matches the Rfam family "Bacterial small subunit ribosomal RNA", at positions 217 to 1125 of the family's 1533-position model. The record is from RNAcentral.